GCGUCUUCGCGCUUCUUUUUGGCCAACUGUCGGAAGAAGUGACCCACGCCCUGCAGAGCCACGUCGUCCCGGUCGAAAUAGAAGCCCUGCGGGAAGAGAUGGCAGAAGCAAGGAGUGUGAGUGUGAAGGCUGGACCUUAGGCAACCCUGUUGGAACCCGAGGUGACCCCCAUAGAAACCAGUGCCAAAAACGUUGAGGCAGGAAGGUAGAAGACUUCACAGAAUUGCUCAGCAAGCCCUACCUGCCCAUGUACAGAUUCCUCCACGUGAGGGAGUGAACCCUGCGUGGAUAAGCCACAGCCAUUUUGGCGGGGUGCCUGUUAUAAGGGGCUGAAUCUGGGCCUGACUCACACGGGGGUUUCUCUGGAAGAGCCCAGCAGAGCUCCUGUCUUGAGAGGAUGCUUACCAUGGUGAUGGCUGUCUUCCCAGUGCCGGGCUGGCCAGUGAUGAGCACCGCCUGCCCAGCGAUCAUCCCUUCCCGGAUCAUCUCCAGCACCACGCCAGCUGCCCGCCGGGCCGCCAGCUGACCAACCAUGCCCUGGGAGGCCUGUGGGGUGGGGGGCCAGAGAGCAGAACAGCUGCCUUCCUGCAGGACCACCCCCAUCUCUACCACCUCCCGGCCUAGGACACGGAAGCAGAUGUUUGGAGGGACAUCGGGGAAAAGCCAAAAAGCCUUUGCUACCACAAUUUUUUUCAGCCCAAUAGAACUCUGUAUGUGGCUGAAUUUCAUAAAUACGGAGCUAAAGGUCUGGAAAAAUAUAACAGUCCCCAUACUCCCGGGGGCCCUCCACAGAGCAGGCUUCCCACCCACCCAGAUCAGCUCUACCUGCCGAGGUUCCAAGGCAUCGUCCAGCCCCAGUCCCCGGAUGUGGGAGUGAGCUCCUGUGUGCAGAGGGAAACAGGAGACACAGUUACUGGCCAGCUCCUAGCAGUGUGUGGCCAAGGUGACAGGUUCCCCUCUGGGCCCUGCUUUCCUCCUUGGCCAGUUGGGGGCCCGGGUCUCCGCCUUACUGGAGGGAUGGCAGGGCUCAGUGAACAAGAGGGGCUCUUCUCAGAAUCCCUCAGAGCCAGACCGGAGUCCCUGGGCCUGGUGAACCACGGGGUCAGUCAGGACUAACCUGGAAGGCUGAGGACCACGGUUACUAUGCUACUAAACUCUGGGAGCGCUUCUGGGGUUCUGUAACUGCCCCAGGCUCUCACCAACAUGGGUGCAGAAGGGGCUCAGAGAGGUCAGAUCCGUUGCCCAGGACCCAUAGCCAUUGAGGAGUGUAGAUUCCAGAUUCACUGCUUUACACUAGAGUGGGGCUGGAGAAACUACAGCCUGGGGUCCAGCCACUUGUUUCUGUAAAUAAAGUUUUAUUGGAACACAGAUUCGCCCAUGUGCUUAUAGGAGGCAGCACCCAAAACACAAUCAGAAUUGCCUUCUGGAGGGCAGGUCCCUUCUUAUUCAGGCUUCCCCCCUGGUGAGUGUCCUGGAAUCCAUCUGUGUCGAUGAAGCGGCAGCCAUUGUUGGGAGAGGCUGCGUGUGGCUUCAGUGAACUUUGUUUUGAAGACUUGCAAAAUGUUUGCCCAUUUCAUGAUGGCUAAUUUACGAGCACACCUGCCCACACCACGCUGAGUUUGCAGCAGUUUUUGACCCGAAACGGCAUGGUCCCCCUACCCCACCCUUCCUAUUCACCUGAUUCUCCCUGUGUGACUUUCUUUUGUUUCCCUGAAUGAAGAAAGUCCUCAGAGGGAAACGUUUUGCCAAGGUGGAAGACGGGAAACAAAAACCAGCAGAAGCACUAAAAGGCAUCAAAAUCGACGAGUUCAAAAACUGUUUUGAGCAGCGGAGAAACCUCUCAAUAGGUGUGUUAUAUCAAAUGGAGAGUCCUUUGAAGGUGACUGAGUUUUAAACAUUUAAGAAUACACUAUAUUUUUUAUAAAUAAA
Molecule: long non-coding RNA, 1929 nt
Organism: Phyllostomus hastatus (greater spear-nosed bat)
Lineage: Eukaryota; Metazoa; Chordata; Mammalia; Chiroptera; Phyllostomidae
Exons: 2
Source: RefSeq, a predicted model, not a curated record